CAGCUCAAAUUUGAAAUCUGGCUCUCGGGCCCGAGUUGUAAUUUGUAGAGGAUGCUUUUGAUGCGGUGCCUUCCGAGUUCCCUGGAACGGGACGCCAUAGAGGGUGAGAGCCCCGUCUGGUUGGAUGCCAAAUCUCUGUAAAGCUCCUUCGACGAGUCGAGUAGUUUGGGAAUGCUGCUCUAAAUGGGAGGUAUAUGUCUUCUAAAGCUAAUUACCGGCCAGAGACCGAUAGCGCACAAGUAGAGUGAUCGAAAGAUGAAAAGCACUUUGAAAAGAGAGUUAAAAAGUACGUGAAAUUGUUGAAAGGGAAGCGUUUAUGACCAGACUUGGGCUUGGUUAAUCAUCUGGGGUUCUCCCCAGUGCACUUUUCCAGUCCAGGCCAGCAUCAGUUUUCGCCGGGGGAUAAAGGCUUCGGGAAUGUGGCUCUCUCCGGGGAGUGUUAUAGCCCGUUGCGUAAUACCCUGGCGGGGACUGAGGUUCGCGCAUCUGCAAGGAUGCUGGCGUAAUGGUCAUCAACGACCCGUCUUGAAACACGGACCAAGGAGUCGUCUUCGUAUGCGAGUGUUCGGGUGUCAAACCCCUACGCGUAAUGAAAGUGAACGCAGGUGAGAGCUUCGGCGCAUCAUCGACCGAUCCUGAUGUUCUCGGAUGGAUUUGAGUAAGAGCAUACGGGGCCGGACCCGAAAGAAGGUGAACUAUGCCUGUGUAGGGUGAAGCCAGAGGAAACUCUGGUGGAGGCUCGCAGCGGUUCUGACGUGCAAAUCGAUCGUCAAACAUGGGCAUGGGGGCGAAAGACUAAUCGAACCUUCUAGUAGCUGGUUUCCGCCGAAGUUUCCCUCAGGAUAGCAGUGUUGAACUCAGUUUUAUGAGGUAAAGCGAAUGAUUAGGGACUCGGGGGCGCUAUUUAGCCUUCAUCCAUUCUCAAACUUUAAAUAUGUAAGAAGCUCUUGUUGCUUAAUUGAACGUGAGCAUUCGAAUGUAUCAACACUAGUGGGCCAUUUUUGGUAAGCAGAACUGGCGAUGCGGGAUGAACCGAACGCGAGGUUAAGGUGCCAGAGUAGACGCUCAUCAGACACCACAAAAGGUGUUAGUACAUCUUGACAGCAGGACGGUGGCCAUGGAAGUCGGAAUCCGCUAAGGACUGUGUAACAACUCACCUGCCGAAUGUACUAGCCCUGAAAAUGGAUGGCGCUCAAGCGUCUCACCCAUACCUCGCCCUCAGGGUAGAAACGAAGCCCUGA
Molecule: ribosomal RNA, 1241 nt
Filed under: Fusarium sp. H11
Lineage: Eukaryota; Fungi; Ascomycota; Sordariomycetes; Hypocreales; Nectriaceae
Description: eukaryotic LSU rRNA
Rfam family: Eukaryotic large subunit ribosomal RNA
Source: RNAcentral